UACGAAGGGGGCUAGCGUUGCUCGGAAUUACUGGGCGUAAAGGGCUCGUAGGCGGCCAACUAAGUCGGAUAUGAAAUCCCCAGGCUUAACCUGGGAACUGCAUCCGAUACUGGAUGGCUUGAAUCCGGGAGAGGGAUGCAGAAUUCCAGGUGUAGCGGUGAAAUGCGUAGAUAUCUGGAGGAAUACCGGUGGCGAAGGCGGCAUCCUGGACCGGCAUUGACGCUGAUGAGCGAAAGCUAGGGGAGCAAACGGG
This 253-nucleotide ribosomal RNA is filed under the name uncultured bacterium. RNAcentral's name for it is "partial 16S ribosomal RNA". It matches the Rfam family "Bacterial small subunit ribosomal RNA", at positions 524 to 776 of the family's 1533-position model. The record is from RNAcentral.